Molecule: ribosomal RNA, 431 nt
Filed under: Pholcus quinquenotatus
Lineage: Eukaryota; Metazoa; Arthropoda; Arachnida; Araneae; Pholcidae
Description: partial 16S ribosomal RNA
Rfam family: Archaeal large subunit ribosomal RNA
Source: RNAcentral
UUUUUUAAGAUUAUCAUUUAAAAUAAAACCUGCUCAGUGAACUAUAAAUCAACAGCCGCAGUAUACCUGUGCUAAGGUAGCACAAUCACUUGCUUUUUAAUUGAAAGAUAGUAUGAAUGGCUAAACUCUUAAAUAAAAGUCUCUUUAUACUUAUAUGAACCUAAGACAAAAGUAAAAACUCUUUUAAAAAAAGUGGGACGACAAGACCCUAUCAAACUAAGCUUUUAGUUGGGGCAACAAAUUAAUAAAUCUUUAACAAUAAUUAUAACAUAUCUUUUAAUAAAACCCAAGACUAGUUACUGUAGGGAUAACAGCGCAAUUCUCCUUAAAAGAUCACAUUAAAAGGAGAGAUUACGACCUCGAUGUUGAAUUAGUGUACCCCAAAAAGCGCAAUAGCUUAAACGGUUAGUCUGUUCGACUAUUAAAAUUCU